UGGGGCUUGGCUCAGAUUGACGUUUUCUCUCCCUUAGAUCAAAUCCAGUUCCUCUAUCCCCGCUUCUCUUCUCCUCCGCCGACUAUCCACUUCUCUUCUCUCCUACACCUGAAAAUUGCAGAAAUCUUGUUCUCUUAUCCGGGGAGGAAGGACCGUCCGAUCUGGGUGGUUGAAGUCACUGUCGACGGAGACGACGCAGCAAAGCCUGGUUCCGGCAGAGCUUGUUCGGUGAGCGGAAUUUUGUUGUCCGAGGUGGUGGUGUAGGCGGCCAUGGUUGUAAAGAACAAGAAGGCGAAGACGAAGAGCAUGAAGGUCUCCCGUCCCCCAUGCAUCUUUCUAAUCUGAUCGGGUUCCUCACUUUCUUGAAUUUCACUCUCAGUCUGCAAACCUGAAAUGUUUGGUGGUGGUGGUCUGUUUGUUUUGGUCUCAGAUUCAUCAUUGUCUUCCUCUCCGCCAAUCUCGUCAACUUCUUCAUCCUCAUAAAACUCAAAUUCAAGCAGCUCCAAUUAACACCCACCUCAAAAAUCUCGAAAACUCCCCCAAUUGAUUUUCCAAGGUUAGCUUGCCAACGUGUUACUCCUUGGAGGGCUUGUUAAUGUGCUUAGUAAAGUUGUGCUUAAAAAUGUUCAGUAGGGAGCAGCAACAACUUGCUAUGUGGCAUUGCAUCCACAAGCUAAAGGGGUGAGCGGUGAAUAUUUUUCAGACAGUAAUAUUUCCAAGCCAACAUCCCAAGUUUCAGCGAUUACCCAAUCUUCCUCCCCCGCCUCCUCUUCCGGUUUGAAGAAGAAGGUUGAGGAUAUUAUGCCAAUUGCUACCGGUCAUGAGCGCGAGGAACUUCAGGCUGAGCUCCAGGCAUAUCAAAAAGAAAAAAGGCCGAAGGUGAAGAAGAAAUAGAAAAAGAAUAUGAAAAAGAAGAAAAAUCUGUACCAAGGGGUAAUUUAGUCAUUUUAUCCAAAAAUGAUAGUCAACAGCUGAAAAGUGGGUCCGGAUGUCUGGUCCAGCUCAGCAUGUGACAUCACCUUUCGAGCCAAAUUUGAAUUUUGGACUUGUGUGAUGGAAAAUAGAAGUGUAAGGACCAUCAUGAUUAAAAAAAAUGUCAGGGACCAAAAUGAUGUUUGCCCAACUCCUAAGUC
RNAcentral lists this long non-coding RNA (1133 nucleotides) under Rosa chinensis. Its description in RNAcentral is "sRNA RchiOBHm_Chr7g0235261". Lineage: Eukaryota; Viridiplantae; Streptophyta; Magnoliopsida; Rosales; Rosaceae. The record is from RNAcentral.